This 21-nucleotide unclassified non-coding RNA is filed under the name Mus musculus (house mouse). RNAcentral's name for it is "oocyte_clustered_small_RNA10118". Lineage: Eukaryota; Metazoa; Chordata; Mammalia; Rodentia; Muridae. The record is from RNAcentral.
UUGCAGCAAUCAGGAUCUGGC